CACCGCCCGUCACAUCAUGAAAGCCGUUUGUACCCGAAGUCAGCAAGCCAACCGCAAGGGGGCCGCUGCCGAAGGUAUGGAUGGUGAUUGGGAUG
This 95-nucleotide ribosomal RNA is filed under the name uncultured bacterium. RNAcentral's name for it is "partial 16S ribosomal RNA". It matches the Rfam family "Bacterial small subunit ribosomal RNA", at positions 1388 to 1482 of the family's 1533-position model. The record is from RNAcentral.